GAUGAAGAACGUAGCGAAAUGCGAUACGUAGUGUGAAUUGCAGAAUUUCGUGAACCAUCAAAUCUUUGAACGCAUAUUGCGCUCGAGGCUUCGGCCGAGAGCAUGUCUGCCUCAGCGUCGGUAUUACCCCUCGCUUCUCAACCCCUGGUUGAUGCCUGCCUGCCUUUGCAGUUGGCUAGAAGCGGAUCUGGCUUUCCCAAUUGCCUUUGGUAGUUGGGUCAGCUGAAGCACAGAGGCUUGAGCAAGGACCCGUAUUGGGCUUCAACUGGAUAGGUAGAACUGGUCUUAGGACCAACUACACGAAGUUGUUGCUUGUGGUCUUUGUCUGGAGGCCAGCAGGAAACCUUUAUACCUUCGACCUGAGCUCAGGCAAGAUUACCCGCUGAACUUAAGCAUAUCAAUAAGCGGAGGA
This 412-nucleotide unclassified non-coding RNA is filed under the name soil metagenome. Its description in RNAcentral is "partial contains 5.8S ribosomal RNA, internal transcribed spacer 2, and large subunit ribosomal RNA". The stretch from base 1 to 120 matches the Rfam family "5.8S ribosomal RNA", at positions 35 to 154 of the family's 154-position model. The record is from RNAcentral.